CAUGUUGUGCUCUAAUCAAAAUUUUCGCAUACAUAUUAUAAGCUUGGUGCAACAGAUGCUAACAUCGAGAUGGUUCGUAGAAUCAUUUUAUUGAAAGUAACGGUUUGUUUUCUUUGAUCACUGUCAAACAAAUCCCUUAAGUAUUGUCCUUAAAGAAACUUAAAGGAAAGAAUUGGGCUUGAAAUUCAUUCAAUAUAGUUGGGAAGAUCUACGAAGUAUAAAAAUAAAAGUGAUCAUGGCCGAGGCGCAAGAUACAGACUUGGACAGUUUUGAGACACUAACAAAGAAGAGAGUAUAGGAGACCAGAUUCAAGAGACUUACGGAAGAGGGAUUAUUUCAGAAAAUUUAAUCCAUUGUGAUACAAGUAAGAUAUCAAGUGACAAUGAAGCUUUUACAAAAAAUAGUUCCUGCAUUGUUUCUAACAAUAAACAAGAAGAUGAAAUACGGAGAUUGGAGUUGCAAAUUAUCGAAAAAAAUGAUGAAAGACGGAGAUUUGAGUUGAAAAUUAGCAAAAUAAACGAUGAAAGACGAAGAUUCGAGUUGCAAGUCCGUGAAAUAACAAUGUAAUACAGAGAUUGGAACAAGAA
Xenia sp. Carnegie-2017 is the source of this 587-nucleotide long non-coding RNA. RefSeq lists it as uncharacterized. The transcript has 5 exons. The record is from RefSeq and is a predicted model, not a curated record. NCBI's taxonomy places the organism in Eukaryota, Metazoa, Cnidaria, Anthozoa, Malacalcyonacea, Xeniidae.